Molecule: ribosomal RNA, 253 nt
Filed under: uncultured bacterium
Lineage: Bacteria
Description: partial 16S ribosomal RNA
Rfam family: Bacterial small subunit ribosomal RNA
Source: RNAcentral
UACGUAGGGGGCUAGCGUUGUCCGGAUUUAUUGGGCGUAAAGAGCGUGUAGGCGGCCAGGUAGGUCUGGUGUGAAAACUCGAGGCUUAACCUCGAGAUGUCAUCGGAAACCAUCUGGCUAGAGUCCGGAAGAGGAGAGUGGAAUUCCUGGUGUAGCGGUGAAAUGCGCAGAUAUCAGGAAGAACACCCGUGGCGAAAGCGGCUCUCUGGAACGGUACUGACGCUGAGACGCGAAAGCGUGGGGAGCGAACAGG